CUUGCAGAUGAUAGCGGAAGGAACCACGCGUACCCAUCCCGAACACGGCCGUUAAGCCUUCCAGCGCCGAUGGUACUUGGACCGAAGGGUCCUGGAGAGUAGGACGUUGCCAAGC
This 115-nucleotide ribosomal RNA is filed under the name Paenibacillus larvae. The record is from RNAcentral. Lineage: Bacteria; Bacillati; Bacillota; Bacilli; Caryophanales; Paenibacillaceae.